Long non-coding RNA from Pygocentrus nattereri (red-bellied piranha), 301 nucleotides. The record is from Ensembl. NCBI's taxonomy places the organism in Eukaryota, Metazoa, Chordata, Actinopteri, Characiformes, Serrasalmidae.
CAAACACACAUGCAGGCUCGCAUGGGUGAUGACAAACUUUUGAUGUGGCUGAUUCUGCAUGAACAAGCCACAGAGAUAAGGCCCUGAAAGAACACCACAAGAGAUUAAAAAACUCUCCAUGUGCGCGCAGCGAUUGCUAGGUAAAAUCCGCACUGUGAGUUAUCAUCCCAUCCAGCCUUUCCAGGUAUCAUGGAGAGUUUUGAUGCAUUUUUGGAGAUUCUCAUGGGCCAUAUCUGAAGCAAGAGCGGAGCUUGAUUUUCUCAAAGAUGAAAGCUUUAAGUACUGUUUAUCUGAUGGUGAC